UUUGAUUUGAAGCAAAACAGUUUUUGUAAAUCGGUUAAAAAGUACAACAAUGUGUACUUACCAUCAUUGAUUUCAUGGAAUGAAUCACCAACCUCUGAGCUCACGGCAAAGAUGACUGGCAUAAAGUGCAUUGCUGAUCUACAGAUGAACAACUGACAUGCCAGGGGAAGGAGUGCUGUGCAUGUUGUGCUGUGGAUUUGACAUGCAGUUAGUCUCAGUGCUUGGGUGUGGUGCGAAAACAGGCAGUUCAUGAUUGUGUGAUCUCAGCCUGUGGAUGUUGGUUAGAGAAGCAGUGGCUGAUCGUUACGGCACUAAGUGUAAACAGCAGCAGGCCCUCAGGGAGCGACCAUACUUCCCCUCCGCACAGAAGAUCAAUAGUCCAGCCAUGGAGAACAGCUGUUCCACUCACGAACACAUGCAAAUGCAAAUAUAAACAUAGAGAACACACAGCAAACAACUGGUACUAGAAUUUCCUUAAACCUUAGCAUCUCAAAAGUUGCACUUAAUCUGGGCCUGGGUAGCUCAGCAAGUAUUGACACUGACUACCACCCCUGGAGUCGCGAGUUUGAAUCCAGGGCGUGCUGAGUGACUCCAGCCAGGACUCCAACGCAACCAAAUUUGCCCGGUUGCUAGGGAGGGUAAAGUCACAUGGGUUAACCUCCUCGUGGUCACAAUUAGUGGUUCUCGCUUUCAAUGGGGAAGUGUGAUAAGUUUGCGAGGAUCGUGGAGAGUAGCAUGAGCCUCCACAUGCUGGUUGUCUCCGUGGUGUCAUGCACAACGAGUCACGUGAUAAGAUGCGCAACUGUCUAAGAAGCGGAGGAAACUGAGACUUGUCCUCCAUCAACCGGAUUGAGGAGAGUAACUGUGCCACCACGAAGACCUACUAAGUAGUGGGAAUUGGGCAUUCCAAAUUGUGGAGAAAAGGGGAUAAAACAUUAAAUAAAAAAACUUGUACUGUAUCUAUUUCAAGUGAUGCUCACUCUAGUACAACUAAAAG
Xyrauchen texanus (razorback sucker) is the source of this 997-nucleotide long non-coding RNA. RefSeq lists it as uncharacterized. The record is from RefSeq and is a predicted model, not a curated record. The transcript is spliced from 3 exons. Lineage: Eukaryota; Metazoa; Chordata; Actinopteri; Cypriniformes; Catostomidae.